Molecule: small RNA, 1114 nt
Filed under: Pan troglodytes (chimpanzee)
Lineage: Eukaryota; Metazoa; Chordata; Mammalia; Primates; Hominidae
Description: processed transcript
Source: RNAcentral
CGGCGCCGAGCCUGAGCCGAGAGAAGAGACCUGGGAAAUUAAGUUUCUUGCGGAGGUGCUGCAGCUGCUGCGCAUCAUCACUCGCCACGACCUGCUGCCCUACGUCACCCUCAAGAGGAGACGGGCUGUGUGCCCUGAUCUUGUAGACAAGUAUCUGGAGGAGACAUCAAUUCGCUAUGUGACCCCCAGAGCCCUCAGUGAUCCAGAACCAAGGCCUCCCCAGCCCUCUAAAACAGAUGUGUAGCAAGCGGCCAGCCCGAGGGAGAGCCACACUUGGGAGCCAGCGAAAACGCCGGAAGUCAGUGACACCAGAUCCCAAGGAAAAGCAGACAUGUGACAUCAGACUGCGGGUUCGGGCUGAAUACUGCCAGCAUGAGACUGCUCUGCAGGGCAAUGUCUUCUCUAACAAGCAGGACCCACUUGAGCGCCAGUUUGAGCGCUUUAACCAGGCCAACACCAUCCUCAAGUCCCGGGACCUGGGCUCCAUCAUCUGUGACAUCAAGUUCUCUGAGCUCACCUACCUCGAUGCAUUCUGGCGCGACUACAUCAAUGGCUCUUUAUUAGAGGCACUUAAAGGUGUCUUCAUCACAGACUCCCUCAAGCAAGCUGUGGGCCAUGAAGCCAUCAAGCUGCUGGUAAAUGUAGACGAGGAGGACUAUGAGCUGGGCCGACAGAAACUCCUGAGGAACUUGAUGCUGCAAGCAUUGCCCUGACCUAUUCCCUCUUCUCACUUUGGGGACUGUUCCCAUCACCCACCUCUGGAGCUUACACUGUUCUGGGGUUUGUUCUCUACCCUUCCAACCAAUCACACCCCUGCCUUUUUUUUUUUUUUUUAAAGAAAAAGACAAAAGAAAGUGGAAGUGGUAUUCCCCACCCCUCCCUGCACCCAUGUGCCUGGGCUUCCCCUUUAUUUCCCUUUUCCAUUUACCCGCUAAUGUGUCUCUACAGCUACCUUACCACUGAGCCGUAAGACAAAUGUAUAGGAAGAAGCAAAGUCUACAGCACAUAGUCUUUGUAAGGGAUUGAUGUGAACACUUUUUUUGGAUGCACUAAGGAGUUAUCAAUACUUCUGGCUUUAUGAGAGCUCUUAAAUUUUGUCUAAAAAACCAAAGGG